AAAGUGACCAAAGUAGAAUUCAACAUCAGA
RNAcentral lists this non-coding RNA (30 nucleotides) under Cricetulus griseus (Chinese hamster). Lineage: Eukaryota; Metazoa; Chordata; Mammalia; Rodentia; Cricetidae. The record is from RNAcentral.